UUGUAUUCAUGAUCUUACCUCUAUUUGUCACAAAUGCAUAGCAUAGGAUCGAGUGGAUCGGCACCCAAUAGGCCAGAUUUUCCUAUCUUUGAUGUUAGAAGUGAUUCCAAUCUAUUUUUCUAUAGUGAUAGUUCACACAUUAGCAAUUAGCACUGCCUCAAAGCAAACAUAGGAACUAGGGAGUUCAUCGAGAGAAAGUCCCUUUAGUUUCGUACUUCCCUGUUUCGGAUUUGCAUAUGUCUUUAAUCGCAAUAGUUGUAGAGAAAUCCCUCAAUCACGGGACAAUCCUCCAGGGCAAAGGUACUUCAAAAGCUUAGAAGGUUCAUCUAUGCAUGAAAGGAAUGAAACAAAUUCCAUAGAAAAAAUAGGAAAAUCCCCACCGAGAUCGGUACCUAUCUAGAUCCCCAGCUUCGACAACAAAACUCCUUCACAUUUUGCGACCAUUCCUGCGAGGACUACGAUUCGGAUUAUCUAAUGUCAUCCCCAAACAGAAUUACACCUCUUAAGAGGAAGGGACGGCCCUCUAUCCGGUGUGGGUUCCUACGAAUUAUUGUAUGGUUCCGGAUCCAGGUCCCUCUGCCCUUGCUUUUUGUUAUUCCAUAGGGGUAUGGAUUGAAGUAAUCACUAAUCCAGGAAAGAUGGAUCUUUAGCUAGAAAAACGAAAAGCCAAUAUGCCAUGUAUCAAAACAAUAGGGAUAGGGGUAGUUGUAUACCACCUACGAAUAGGAAGAUCCUGGGUUUUGUAAGAAAACUACGAAUAGGAAGAUCCUGGGUUUUGUAAGAAAUCCAAUUUCAUCAAUUCUAAGCACGGUAACGGCAGUGCUCCUAUCCAACGGCCGGGGAUCUAUUCGAUUUCUCAAUUUGCUAAUGCCGAUAAGCUUAGGUUGUUAUUUCAUCGUCUUGCGCUAAAAAGGCACCCUCCUAUUAUGCUAACAAAGGGACGGAUAACGGCAAAGCGGAACAGCAACAGCGAAAGCAAGUACAGUAAAGGUGCAAUCCCUAAAAAAAGAAUCAAAAUAGAGAAAUUUAGAGCGCUGCGAAUUUCCUUCUUUUGAUAAUGCUACCCACACAGUCAUGGCUCCUAUCCGGUCACCAGGUUAAACAAUUGAUUCCUCUCAACGCAUCCCCGCGGUAAAGAGCUAGUCGUAUUCUUUUGAUAACUCUCUAGUUGUAUUCAAGCAAGAGUCCUCGGCAUCCUACGAAAACAAGCGCUAGGAAUAUCAAUAGCGUUAGCGUUAGUGUCCUGGCCUUUGCUUGGGGAUUCCUCUAUGGAAUUCCAAACAUGCCUUUGCUCGUCCCUUUGAUUCAAUCCUUCUUCUCCUCGAAAGCUACAACUAGAAAAUAUAUUCUUUUUUGCCGGUGCGAACCCUUCUUUUGAAUAACAACCAUUGGCAAGACCAGCGAAAUCCGAAUACUAAUCCGAGGAAAGCCCAUCCCUACUUCCCUUUGUUGUUGUUCCUCGAAAUACUCUACUAGUCAUUGGUUUCAAAGCAAAGGUAUCUGGUAUAGGGGGUCGUGGGAAGGUUAGUGUUUCAUUUUGAUAGGUGAUAGUGGUAUACCAAACCAUAUGGUAUAGGUCUUGGAAAGGAAAGUAAAUCAAGUCCAUCUUACAGGAUUUCUUCACUUGCUUGGGCUUAAGCGGUACCAGUACCCGGAGAAUAGUUCCAUUCUCUUUCUCCACAUGACACCCUUGUGUUGUCAAACUAAUGAAUCCCUCUCCGCCCCUGCUCUGACAAAGCAAUAAGCACUAGGGUAUCCACCCACCCGCCAGUUCGAAUAGCCGGUUUCCUCCCCUUCCGCUCAAGCUAAAGCUUCUGGGCUACGGCUUCCGGUUCCGUAUUCCGAUUCGUCUUCGGAUAGCAUUAGAAAAUCCCUUUCAUGCCUUGCCAAUACAACUAUUAUUUUUCUUAGCCGAGGAGCCUUUGGAAGUACCGUUGUUGGAUCUGAUUGAGCCAUUAUAGGAUCGGAUAAAGAUUCACUCUUUGCCAAUGCCUGCUUCCUUGGUUUCCUACUUUCUGCAUCGAAAGUGACUUUUUGCUCAGUAUCGAGAACCACUUCUUCUCCUUUUCGAGGCGUAGAUCGCUCGUCAUCUGAUUUGCUUCGUCAAAGCGGAUAGCAUUAUGGAAUUGAUUAUAUUCGUAGAAAAAGCACCCCUAUUUAAUAAGUCCUCGGAAAUGAUCUCAUCCAGUACUUCUCUCAGCCUAUUUGCCAAGACUUUGGAGCAUAGCUUGUAAAUGACAUUGCACAAAGAUAUCGGCCUAUACUGCGAGAUUUCUUGGGGGUUCUACUGUCAGCAAGUGCACUAUUAUUUACUUCACCGCGUACUUAAAGAAUUGUUGGUAGCAAAGAACAGCACCUGAUAGAAAGGAUGCUAACCAAGCCUCUUCUGUUUAAGCAAGGCUAAGCCAAAAUAAGGGGUACAGUAGGCUGGUGACCCUGACGAUAGCACUAAGACUGCCUCGGGAAUCUCCUCAGUCAUUGAAGAGUGCCUCGGGAAUUGAAUAGAAGCACUGAUAUCCAUAUAAUCCUAAAAUUAUGCUCUAUUCUCUUGAAGAGAAGACACUUGAACUUCAUCAUGUGCUAUUGAUCCUUUUGAACCUAAAUUCACAUUGGCUCUUUUUGGCAUACAUCAUUUGUUUUUCUGUGAAAGUCCUCCUUCCUCUAGACAAAGAUUACAUUAGAGGUGCCUCGACCCGAAAGAGCAUGAUACAAUCAAUUAGGACGUAGCUCUGCUACGAGAAAGGAUAGGACUUUUGCCAAGUCUAGAGUUCGACUUCUAAAAAGAGAAAGCCACUAACAAAAAGAAAGAAAAGAGGAGGAAGCUGGACUUGCCUGUGUUCAAGAUACAAUGAAUCAAAUAAAUAAGUCUUAUGGAUGAAUGUUGAAGACGGACGAUACAACCCUACUAAAAGUCACAAAGCUCACUUCGCUAUCAGGCCAAGCAGCAGCUUCAUAAUAUAGGUGAGAUAGAUUAAUUGAUUGUUUCUUUUUUUUGUUAUAGAAUUCUAAAUCAAGCAUUAGUUUGAACGACAUAGAAAACUCUUUUCCAACUAAGCACUCUUGAGCAUCAAGCAAUUAUAUGGCUUGGAUUCGGUCUGUUCCAUCUUUUACCUUUGGAAAAAUAAAGGGAUUGGAGCCGAAAAUCCUUGUUGAAGAGGAUAUCGAGCACAAAAGUGAAGAGUGAAGAGUAGAGGGCGCAUUGGAUGUGCGCUCCCUAUGAACGAUGUCCCACUAGAAAUGGAUCUUCGGAAAGAAGAGUGUUUCUCUUGAUAUUUCUAUUCUAUUCUAUUUCUAUAAGUGAAUUAUUGAUCAAGAUCAAAUGGAGAAAAUGUAGAUGUGAAACUAUGUUCUUUGAACACCUUCUUCCAUGCUAUUGAAGCUGGCAAACAGGGGAGUGAGUGAAGAGAGAAGCCAUGCCUCUUUCGAUGUGAGGCAAGCGAUGAACGAGUAGAUGCUGCCCUUAGACCAAUUUUCUCUUCCGGUAGCUGACACCGAGAUGGGCUAGGCUAGGAAACCUUAUUCGAGACGAUAGGGAUGGUAAACAAAGCGAUGGGGUAUACGUACGAAUUGGAAUACAAAUGAAAUCAUUGCCUAUAAAGAUGAACCCGUUAGCGUAUAGGAACAACAGCAUAUGAAAGUUGGGUGGAUACUCCUAUUUAAUUGGUUUAACCAGAAACAGAGGAUAGGAUUCGAAAAGUCAACCGGAAACCGAGCCCUAACCUUUAAUUGAUGAGAAUUUCCAUACCCCUACUACUCGUAUGUAUUGGCGUGGGUUCGUAUGUAAACAUUCGUAUUGGCUUAGCAGAGCACUUCGUAUCCCGCCACAACCGAUCCUUUGCUUCCUUCUCACUCAGCUUUUUGACUCAACAGUCGUUCCCCCUGUUACACAAAGCUACGUAUACAGAGGUAGUUGUUCAUCCCUUUUGCUCGUGACAUAUCCCCUCGCUCUGUCUUCUAUUCCUUCUGCGCGUUACGUUACUAAGGCCAUCGGUCUUAUGGAAAGAGAAGGCAUAUAAUCGAUUCUUUGACCGGCUUUGCUUCUUUCGUGAUUCACGUAGAUUGGAAUUCACUUUCUUUAGGGCAUGGCUAGUUUCGGGUUUUCUAAAACCAUCGCCCAACUCUUUCUUAUUCAGACACGCCAACUGAUAUGUUGGAUUAACAAGCUAGGGAGUAAUUGGGGCUUAUGUGGACCCCUUCCCUUUAAUUUAAGAAAGAGGUCUUCCUAGCUGACUUGAAACUAGAUCUUCUUUCGAGUUUUGUUCUCUAUGGCUUGUGAAUUGCUGUACUGCCUGUUUCACUCUCUUCUAAGGGAUAUCCUCCUAUGGAGGUAUGUAAAGUGGGUUCUAUCGCAUUUUCCAUCUUAGGGCGAGCAAUAUAAGCAAUUCUGGUAUCAACAGGUACAUUGUUUGGGAAAGAAAGUGAAAACAAUAGAUCCAAUUCUGGGUUUUGGGGAUGGAUUUCUCACAACCCUAAGGUGCUUGCUAAUCUCUCGGACGAGUUGAUGUCAAUAGCAAUUCUGAUGAAACAUCUUAAACAUCUUUAGUGCCUUUUGCCUUUGAGCUCAAUCGAUCAGAAGAAAGGGAAUAUAACCUGCCCCUCAUUGUCCUUCAAUCAUGGUGCAAUGAAUAUCGUAGAUAGAGUGAUUUUGAUCUCAUAUAGCUAGCUUUCCUUUCAAAGUGAAACGAUUUUCCUUUUACGUUGAGAUAUUUGAAUUGGAUUUUCUUUCACCACUACUAUCAUAACGCACAGAAAACACUGACGUUUCCGCUCGCUUUCAACCACUUCCACUUUACCUGAGCACUGUGACGCAGUCGGUCAAGUAUUGAGUUUCUGCUAGUAUAUCAAGGACUUAUGAGAACUGAAAAGAAAAAAAAGGAAAAAAACAAUUCUCAUAGUUCAUUGAAUUAAGGGAGGGCCAUUCGUGGGGGGUUCGUGGAAGAGUUGGGUUUGAUUCCCUUUAUACGCGAUGUGGCGAAAAAGACUGAUUCAACGAAAUAUGCCAUGCCAGCAUUAAGAUUUAAAACAUGUCGUCUACUUCCAGGAAAUGUUCGGAACAGAGAACUUUCUCUAAUCCAACGCCGUAUUCUCCGAAGAUUGAGGAACAAGAGGAGAUCCAUUAAAAGAAAUCUUUCUUUGAGAGAAAAUCGAAACAGUAACAUCAAAUCACAAACUACACGAAAGUUGUCUCUUUAUUAUGGGGAUUUACCCAUAAGGGAGAUGCACAGAGGAAGAGAACGAACUUCAUAUAUCCCUUUUUUACUCAAUCAAGAAACAAGAUCGGACGUGAUUCCGGUUCGUCUCCAUUUUAGUGACACUCUUCCUCAAGCAAGGCAGCCGAUAAGUCAUCGAAGGGUUUGUUUGAAUAAUGGACUAGUAACCAUUACUCAUUUGAAAGUUUCCUACGGUGAUCUAAUAUCUUUUAAAGAAAAUGACGCGAGAACCCGCGGUUUUGAAAUAAGGAGAUCUUUCUAUAUCGACAUAUCAGUUGGAAAAAUCAUAGGCAAAUUCCUAUCGGCCAUAUCAGUUGCAAAAAGAAGAGGCAAAUUCCUACCGGCCAGAAUCUGGAGAAGAACAAAAAAAAGAAUGGUUCCGCUUACUCACAACUCAGAGGGGAUGCCGCUUACUACUCAAAUCCAAGGAAUUGCAAAAGUUGCGUUCUUAUAUGCAAGAAGAAGACUUUGAAAGAACAAAGAAGUUUGGAUCCGCAAAAGUAUGCUUAGGCAGUUCCUUCGCUGAGCACAACAGAAUGAAGAGGAAUUUGUUUCAUUUCAAAUACUUCUUCUUAUUGAAAAGAUGGAAGGAGAAAAACCGAAAUCUUCCUACUCGAACAAUAAGUCCUUUUGUAGAAAAGUCUUCUUUAUAUAGUAAUUCGACCUAUUGCUCCGGAUCCCCGUUUACUAGGAAGAUAAGAAUCAAAAGGAUCGAACUACCUACUCAUUAUUCGGAGGUGGAUCAUAGAACACUAAAAGUUGUGGUAUCUGAUGGACCUAACAUAUGUUACAUCCCUCACGACAUAAGAUUGAAAGAUCCAAACCUUCCUCUUCGGAGCGGAAACGGACGUGGCCAAAACAUAUAAAAAAAGAUCGGCCUAGUCGCUCAUAGGGACAUAUCUAUCCGGAUAGAGGAUAGUCUAGAUCAAUUUUGAGAAAAAUCUCUCUAUAUAUAGAUAGGUAUCUCUGUGGAUAGAGAUAAAGAUAGGGAUCCCUAUAAAUCGAAAUAUAUGGAAAAAGUGCACUUUUUGACUACUACUACUAUUUCUUAGACUUUUUCAAGGAAACAUCGUUUUUUCGAUUUUGACUGAAUUGGUCGGAGCGUAGACAAGCAAGCAGAGCCCAGGAAAGAGGUCAGAUCGUCAUAGAGCAGUCGACUAUAAGUAUAAGACUGCUGGCCUGAGAGAAGGCAGCCUCUCUCGGGAAACAUGGCCCAAUUUCUCUUCUUUCUUUUCACACGGGCAACAAUUGGGAAUAAAACAGACCAUGAACAUGAGUUUAAAAUGUAAAAAAAAGGGAAGAGUGCAUUCUCCACUUCCUUAUCCCGAAAAUGCGUAAUAUAGUGAUGUCAUGUGUCUGUUUCUCUGAAAAGGUGGGUCGGCCCUUAGGGCAAACAGUAGUGCCAGGUUCCAUUGUGGAACGGUCGUUUGCCGGUGACCUUUGUCCGCUGUAGUACGAGUAACUGGCGCAUCACAUCCAAUCUCUCAUGUCAAUGAGUCAGUUAGAAAACAGCUCCAAAUGAAUAAGUGAUUUCCCCUUUAUUUCCCUCGGAGCGCAAGGGGAAACAAGAUUGAGAAUGAAUUAAAACACACCAAAUGUUUCAUUUUGCCUAUUAUCAGUGGUCAGUUUUGAUACAAACCAGGGGAAAAAGAACCUGGAACGCCUUCUUUAAGGCGCUACUAUUUAUAGCGGCAUAGGUGCUUUAUCACAAUACGAAAGAUGUACAUACGAGGACUACGAUUCCUAUUUAGAGAUAUUCCUACGAGCGAUAGACGUAGUAAGGAAAUUACGUACGCCAAUAACAAAUAUGAAUACGAAUUACGCCUACGAGCCUACGCAAUGGCAUGUUUCGGCGUAUAAAGCUAAGAACGAGAAUAGCCUACUGCCUCCACUCGGAAAAGGCAAAGGUAUCCAGUAUAGGAUAUCGAUGAACGGAGGACAAGGGAAGAAGGCAAGGUGAACCUCCUUUGCCAAAGCCCUUUUGAAAUACCUUCUUUUUGAACCUUUAGAAAAUACCUGCUAGCUAUCCCUAGUUUUGUUUAACCAGCUUUCCCCCAAAAAGGGGAGAUUUGCUGCUUACUACUCACGGAAACAUCCAACCUUAUGGUCAAGUCGUCCGCCUAUCUUUCUGAUCUCAUUCAUUUUCCGAUCGCAUAAAAAGUCAUGAGAUUAAAAAAGAAAUGUGAGUAUGUAGUUACAGAUGUAAAAAAAAUAAAUAUCUCGUUCUCUUGUUCUUAAAUCAUGAAUUGGAUGAUGUGCGUUUCAUCAAGUAUGAACAUAUUGCAUUUUUUGCUAUGCAAUUUCAGUACCGGAUCGACGUCCAUUUAUUUCUAUGUCCUCAUCCUCGUGUAUGUCUGUGUUAGAUAGGCUCUGGAAGGCCUUACUUUACUAACAGGUAGGGCGCGUUACUUUUAUUAUUUUUUUGCUGCUUACCCGCAUGUUUAGAUUAUUUACUUGCCCUUUCACUUUUUCUUCGGCUGUCACCAACUGUGUUCAAUGCUAGUCCCUAACCCAUGAAUAAGGGCUCCGCUGGCUACCGGGUUCAGAGAAGUUUGUAAGCUCCUUCUCUUUUUUCAUUUUUCGCAUCCUCCUGUGUCUUUCCGUUUAAGGUCUUUAAUUCGGCAUUAGCUUCGUUAGAGAAAGCCAUGCGUGAACUACAAAGCAUGGGAUCCUGAACACCACGAAAGAAAGCGUACUACUUUUCAAUAAGGUCCGACUUCAGAGAGGAGAGACAUGAACUUGUUUUAGGCAUAUAAAAGGCAUACGGUAUGAAAGAUUGAUUGAAAAGAGGUGGGGACUGGUCUCGCUGCUAAGGGAGAAGGAGACCUCUGUCGGAGCAAGCUAAAGAGCCCACUUUAUAUCGUCGAUUUUAGGUAAGGCACUCGAUCAAGCCUAUACAUCCGGGAAUUUCGCUCCAAACCAAAGACGACUUGCUUUGCUGCAUUUCUUGGGCUGGGGCUUUACUUGAUUUUGGUGAAAGAAAGGCCAUAUGAUCUACUUUCUGGUGCCGGUCCCUUCACAAAGAUAGCCCCUUCUUGCUCUUAUUCUGUAACAUCCCAAAUUUUCAAUUUGGAAUUUUAUACAUAGAUCAUCAUUGCAUAUCAUAUUUUGUUCCAUCUUAGGCUCGAUCCUAGAAAUUCUAUGCAACUCAAGGACCCUCGGAGAGAGUUGGGGAUUUCGUUAUUUUCUUAUUUGAGUUUUUCUCAAAUUUUGAAAAUAGGAUCAUUGAUUUUAUUUAUUUUAUCUUCAAUUAUUUCUACUACCAAAUAUUCAGAGAGGGAAUAAAAUGACUUUCCCAAAAUAAAGAAAUAAUGAAGAUUUAAUAAAAAAAUCAAAUAAGUUUUAUUUUGGAAGUUUUUCGCCUUUUAUUUGAAUUUAGGAAAAAUGUGUGUUUUUCAAAAUUGCACUUAGGCCCCAAAUAAAUGUUCAUCUUGUCCGGCUUGAUUUUAGAAGCCGGGGAAAAUUUAUUUCGGGAUUUUUGGAGUCUGUUUAGUAUUUCUUUUUAUUUUUCUUCUGUGCGGAAUUAUUUAAAAAAAACGCAACCGACCUACGGGUCGUGCCCGAGCGGGACUCUGCCCGGGGGCGCCUUUAAAUAGCGCCGCCCCGAGCCCCCCAGGCCCAGCCGCCCGCCCCGCCAGCCCGCAGCCGCCGCCAGCCCACUUCGNNNNNNNNNNNNNNNNNNNNNNNNNNNNNNNNNNNNNNNNNNNNNNNNNNNNNNNNNNNNNNNNNNNNNNNNNNNNNNNNNNNNNNNNNNNNNNNNNNNNNNNNNNNNNNNNNNNNNNNNNNNNNNNNNNNNNNNNNNNNNNNNNNNNNNNNNNNNNNNNNNNNNNNNNNNNNNNNNNNNNNNNNNNNNNNNNNNNNNNNNNNNNNNNNNNNNNNNNNNNNNNNNNNNNNNNNNNNNNNNNNNNNNNNNNNNNNNNNNNNNNNNNNNNNNNNNNNNNNNNNNNNNNNNNNNNNNNNNNNNNNNNNNNNNNNNNNNNNNNNNNNNNNNNNNNNNNNNNNNNNNNNNNNNNNNNNNNNNNNNNNNNNNNNNNNNNNNNNNNNNNNNNNNNNNNNNNNNNNNNNNNNNNNNNNNNNNNNNNNNNNNNNNNNNNNNNNNNNNNNNNNNNNNNNNNNNNNNNNNNNNNNNNNNNNNNNNNNNNNNNNNNNNNNNNNNNNNNNNNNNNNNNNNNNNNNNNNNNNNNNNNNNNNNNNNNNNNNNNNNNNNNNNNNNNNNNNNNNNNNNNNNNNNNNNNNNNNNNNNNNNNNNNNNNNNNNNNNNCCGGUUUUUUUAUAUAUAAAAAAACCGAACGGGUUUUUCUUCAUUUUUUUUUCUUUUUUUCGGUUUAUUUUUUUUAGAUCUGUUUUAUUUUUCGGUUCGGUUAAAUAGCGAGCGUUCGCUCGUUCGUUCAUUUUAACGAACAUAUUCGUCAGAUCUGUUUAGUCAACGAACGUUCGUUCGUCAGCCUGUUCGUCGUUUUUCUUUUUCUCGGAUUUAAUCCGCGAUUUUUCUGAUCGCGAUUCCAGAUCCGAUUUUCGUUUUAGUAUAACUUUUCGCUCGUUUAUCGGAAUCAGGCGAUUCAAGCGCCUGGAGUUUCGUCUCGAAACCUUCUUUCCAAAUAAUCAACUUAAACAAGUUUUUGCUUCUGUAAAAUUUGACUUAGAUCCAGAUUAGUAAAACAAAGUUGUUUUCUUUCGCCGUUUGACUUUCGUUGCUUUGUUUGAUUCGGUUCUUUUUGCAAACCGGAGUUCUUAAGUUGAACAAUCUGGUUGGAUCUUUUAUUCGAGUUUUACCAGUGCAUUAGAUGAGUACUUAUUGUAUGUUUGUUUGUUUGUUUGUCUGUGAUAGAAUACCCAGAGUGCGCCGCCUGUUACUUCGAGUCUCUAGGUUUUGCGGAUCAUCAACAAGGCAAGUAACACUUUGAUCAUACCUUUUCUCAUACCCAGUUUUUAUGCAUUAGACCAAUCCUCAAACAAUUGCAUGAUUAGGAUCUAAUUAAAUUGUGGGAUGGGAAGUAGAUGAGGUAGUACCUAUUACCUGUUUUAUUUUCAAACCCCUGGGAGUUACUUCUACGUUUGCUUUUUAUGCCAUGCUAUGCUAGUAGAAGUGGAUUGGGUGAGUGUAUCCAUGACAGAUGUGAGAUUGUUAAUCAAUGGUUUAUUUAAGGUGGCAACUUAAACACACAUCUGAGUGGAUUGAGGCACCUGGUUUCUAUCAGGACUUGCCUGUAUUUCUUCGGACCACCACCCAGGCUCAAAGGGAUCAUGAGAUUAUUCAAACUAGAAACAUCCGUGUGCAGCCACAAGCCAUUAUGGGCUCUGGCAUAGUUGACUAAGUCGUGGAACUCUUACGGGUAGACUAGCAGAUGUAGGGGAAAGUAGGUGUACCGGUCUACCCACAUGUAAGGUGCUAGUGCUUCCGAAAGACUAUGUCUCGGUCAUCCGUUUCUCAAACACCAUGUAGUGCGAGGAAUCAAAUGGAGGCGAUUGAGUCUUGUGGGGAAAAGUGCGCAAACCUGUGCAGAGUGUACAAACUAAUCAUGGUUAGUCGUGUCCCCGGUUAUGGACGUUUUGAGUAUCUAGUACCUGGAUAUCAUGUGAAUCUCAUCAUGUGGUUCUAUACUCAGUGAUGCCGUUGGAGUUGAUGGACUCGCUUAUCUUCCAAUCCUUCCGCUGUUAUCGUUUUUAGAUGGCCUUAAGCCGUAUUUAUUUCAAUAAGUUCUCUUUUGAGACAUUCGAUGUAAUAAGUGUGUGGUUGCUACUCUGUUAUAAAUCCUCCAAGUACUGUGUGGUGUCAGCAUUACUGAUCCAGGGAUAAUACUAAGCACAGAGAUCAGACUGGUUGAGGUCUGGUCGCUACAUAUUCUUAUUCUUAUUCUUAUUCGGUGGAAUACAAGAGUUCUGAAGCUCCUUUAUUUCAAGUGAAAGUUGCCUAUCUUUCUUGGUUCAGAAUCCAAUCCAGUUGAAAACAAACAAUUGCCCGAUGGCAAAGUCAGAUGAAAGGCUAGGAGUGUAAACCACGUACGAGCGUGGCGCAGAAAGCGAAAUGUUUUGCAGCGAGUCAAGCGUAAUAUGAUCAAAAGGAAAUGGGGUCGAUGCAUAAACGUUGGAGUGUGAAGGCAUAAACGUUAAUAGAGUCAAAAGGAAUUAUGUCAAAGCCUCAGAGAAACCCAGGCCCUCUCUGUUGCUUGUUCGUUACGAACAAAAGAAGCUGAUACCAGUUCUGGUGUUUAUCCAGCGGAGGCUCAUAUCUCUUCCAUGUGAGACCAGCGACCUCAGAUCAUCCCGGACUUAUGUGCUGGAAUAGCUUCGUUAUGAGUUGAAGCAGCCUCAGCUACUAUUCCUACUAAGGAGGAGUCGCCUUUUUCAAUUCCCUCCCUUUUGCAAUCCCAUGUUGAUGUAAGGAAGCUGCUUUAGAGUAUUGGCAAAAAAACAUUACAUGCAGGUCCAGAUCUCCUUGCGUUCGUUGGUGGUUGACUACCGGGAAAGGGCAGAAUAGCAACAGUGAGGAAGCAUACCACCCAAAGCAAGACGUGAAAACCUUCUUCGUAUCCAAAAGCCCCUUUUAGUCUGUCUGGCCUUAGUAUUUAUGAUACAUAAUCGCAUCUUCUCCCCCUUUCUCGUAUCUCCACGGAAGUAAGUACUGGUACGAUCGGAACUAGUAUUUAGAUAUAUGUGACCCUCUAGCGGUUUGACCCGUUGAUGGUAUACGGAACUUCCUUCCUGUGAAAGGUCGAGUUCGUAAAUCAAGCUUGUAGAAAAAGCAGUACCGGUAUUUGAUGGUGAUGGUGAGGAUGACUAACCUCGCUCUUGCAACCAUGAAUAUUUUCUAGAUACUACGGGCAUAUACCUUCUUCCGAAGGGUCCCCGUCCUAUCUUUUUCGCCUUCCACUCUGGAAUCGACUAUUGGUGGGUUGUAACGUGAACCUAUGGAUCUCAAUGAACAGCUUCGAUACCACAAAAGGAUGGGCAAGAAAGACAGCAGGUGUUGAGCCAAAGCCCUAGUUCAUACACAAUCAUAAUGUUGGUCAACCAUCCGAACCGGGAUUCCUGUUAUUCAUACGAAGGAACAAGAAAAGAAGAAGUAUGGGAUAAAUUGUUUUUGAGUUGGGCAUAAUGAAAGCGGGUACAAUGGCAUUACUUAGAAGCUAUUAUGUCCUGUCUUGGCUUUAGCAAUAAGCUUGUGCGACUGAUGACUCCCUCCAUCCGUGGCAUCUCCAAGACUAAUGGGUAAGGUUUUGUCGCAUCUUAAUCGAACCGCAUACGGAGCUCAGCUCCUAAGAAAAUAAUAAGAAAUAUCUAGUUUUGUUUCAUAAGUGGCGAGCCAAGGAAUAAGAAUACCGCCCCCUGAUCUGUAUUUCAAAAGUGGAUUCAGCGCUGCAAGAAAUAGAAUUAUGCAUAGAUUGACUUGUAAAGAAAGACGAACCGAACAGUGCUAAGCAAAACUCUCUUAUUUCUAUGCUCGAUUCAAUCUCUACUCAUCUGCUUUUAGUUCUACUUUCUGUAUACGAAGUCCGAGCUUUUCGAGCUGCUCAGUUCUCGCUAUGUCAUUUCUUGGUUUUUAGUGCAUUCACUCAAUUCUCUGUGAAGUCCAUGGACAUGUUGUGGUUCAUUGCAGAGAACAGCCAUCACAUGGAUCAAGCUAUAAGGAAUCACCCGCGAGCGAGGGCAAGUCUCAAUUACGGUAGGAAUGGAAUACACCAAUCAUAACUCUGGUCUGGUCCCUAGUUCCCUAAGUAGUUAGUGAAACUUCCAGCUGGACUGACUGGAUUUAGAGCUUAAUGCUCCUAUCUUUGAACUAGAAUCUUAGCGCUUAUUUCAUGAAGAUAGCUACUUUAAUUGAUACAAGAAUGCCUACUUUGGACCAAUAGGAUCUACUCCUACUUGAAUGCCAAUCCAAUCUCUUUCCCAAUAAGAAUUCCUAAUCCCUAAAUCCAAGCAAGGCAUGAUUGUUAGUCAGGAUAACUAGCUUACGUACCGCAUUAAGAAGUACCGACUAUGCUUUUUUCCAUACUUUUCUUGCAGUACUUCAGUAAAGCUACCCCAUUUUAAUAAGAUAGGGAUUCGAGAUAUCAGCAUUUUCACAGGUCCUUGUCAAGCUGCAGCAGAAUUAGAUUCGAGUAUAGCAUCACUCAGUUGGAGUUCAGAAAUAAUCUGGAUCCCCUUUGCUAUUUUAGCAAUCUUUGCUGCUCAGUUUCAUCCCUUUCUAAGGUAGAAAACCCAUCCAUAUAUGUACGAGUGAGAGAUGUCUUCCGUCUCUAGGUAGAGGAGGUAGAAAAUAAUAGAUACCGUCUAUUCUAUUAACUAGUCAUCAAAAAGCAACCUAUAUCGAGGUCAAGUUUGAUAGGGUGAAGUGGACUAUUAGAUCCCCGGCUUACCAUUAGAAAUAAAGCUUAGCCGCCAACGUCAAUGUGUUAAGCACAUAGGAUAUAUUCGGCGAAAGUUAGUAAGAAGUAGAGUGAAUUCUGAAACUCCAGCAUUUAGGCCCAGAUAGAAUGGGUCCUCAAGCUUAGAAUCAUUUGGCCUAACCUUUAAGAAAAGUCAACAUCUUUUCAUCCGGGUCGUACUAAAGGCAGGUAGACCGAACACACGGCACCUGUCCCAAUGAUUGGUACACUGACGGUGGCUUAUUGGUUCCUUCCUCCCUUCCAUCCUCAAGUCUUACUUUCCUUGAUGCCUUAGUUUACUUGAUGCCCAAUUCAUUCCUCCCUAUAUUCAAUCUCUCGUGCCAUAUUCUUUUUUAGGUUUGACAUUACUUCCCUUUCCUAUCUUUUUACUUUUCUCAAGGACGUAAGAUUCUUCAAAAUGCCUUUCGCAGAUCCCUUUGAUUCCAGGUUCAGAUCCAUCUAUCUCUUCUCUCCCUUUCUUGGAACCUUACUUCACAAAGUAGGAUAUGCCCCCGGGGAUACUCAUCAUUAUUAUGAAUAGGUUACUCUAUCCAAUUCCCCGGAAUCAUUCACUAUCAUAGUCAGUCUCACCUUUGCUUAGUUGAGGGAUACUAACAUCACCAUCUGCACUGAGGAAUAUCUGAGAUUUCUCAGAGUUCAUGUGCAUGCCCCCGCCACCACGUUCGAUCACGGAAAUAAAUCCACUUAGAUUUACGUGCCUUAAGAUGUCUAGAAUUUGUGGACGGUCAAGAUGAUAUGGGUCAUACCGUGUUGAAGCUAGAAGGACAUUGGUGUCCCAUCUUGUAUAAAGAACACCUUCAUACCGGCCUAGGACCUCCCUAUUGAAUUGAUGCUGCAAAAAGAGAUGUAAGAGCACGUCACUCAAUUCACCUAUUAAUGGUAUACAAUUGUCAUGAUGAAUUUGGAGGUUAGUGUUGGCAUUAUAUAUCGGGAGAGAUAGAAAUUCCUUUAAGAUGUGGGAAAUCACUCCCAGAUUGUGUAGACACUUUAAUGUAUUCCAUAGAUGUUCCGUAGAAACAUAGCGGAUACUGUGACUCAAAUCCACGCAGACUAUUUUCUCUACUCCACUUUGACCAUCCCAGAACCUCUCGUGGUAAUCCAACAUUUCAUUAUAAUAAUUGAGUCUAGACGGGAGAUUGUUUCUUAUCACUAGAAACUCCCGCAUUAAGAUAUUAGCUAAUGCUUUAAAAAGUAGCGCAUCUGCUGAAAGGGAUGGGGCAGCCAUACAAGGCCAAUCACCAGCAUUGAUGAGUGGGCGCCUGGCACUUAAAUACCCAACCUCAUCUUGCCUUUCCAAAGUGAAACGUUCCUGCAAAGUCAUACCUUUCUUAUAGGCUUUGUAUACCAAUUUGGGAUGAAAUGCAGAAUAACCUUCAUGUAUAAGUAACACCAUGGUAUCGAUUUCUUCGGCUAAGACGCCCCGAUCCCUCCACAUAUCGUUCAAGUAACAUUAUAGGUGUGGAUUGCAAACUAUAUCUGGCCUAUCGGGCCUAUCUACUGGUGGUACUAGUUCCGCGGGAGGGGCAGGAUUUCGGUGCCGUCGGCAUGGGUCCGGCUAUCGAUCACAAGGGUCUAGAUAUGGGUCUCGAACGGAAAAGUAUGCUACAUAUUGCUCUGCUCCAGUUCCCUCUUCUUACACCUGGUCAAUUCGUUGAUCGCCCCUUUUAUUUCUGAUUUUCAAAAGGGCCCCGCUCUCGUCUCUACUGACGAAGCCUUUAUCUCUGUCUCUGUUAUCCUCGUACCUGCUGAUCUCUUCGACUGAUAGAGUCUAUGCUAUUGGUGAAGCUGGUUCUACCUCAACAACAGGAUCUGCAAAUGGAUUUUCAACUAACAGCCUAUGCUUCAAUUUGUGAUGAAAGGUCGACUAGUUUUCAUCGAAUCUUCAAUUAUGCACUGGUAACUUUUUUCCAUUUCUGAGGUCCAGAGGGGAAGACGAAGUACAGCCUAGUUCAGAGAGUCACGAUUGAAUCAAGGUUAAUUCAGCAGCAGCUAGAGCAAUACUCCGAUAUUGAUUUGAUUCUCCGCUACCCACCAAGGUAGAAGACUGCUUGAUCCGCAAAAGAAGUAUGCUUUAUUUGCUUAUAGAACAAAAGUAUACGCUUUUUCAGGGAAAGAUAGAUGGAAUAGGGCAUUCAGCAGUUUGAAGAGGUAGCCUUUUUCAGUAGCAGUCUUGUAAGCAAGCGUCGUACGUUCAAUCUAUACUGGCGAGAGUCUUUCCUCUUAUAAAGCCUGAGCGCGUUGCAUGACUUAAUGCCAGCUCUUUAUCAUACAUCUUCUGUAGAACCAAUAAAUAUAAGGGAUAUGUGUUAGCACAUCUUGUUCAUGCUCUGCACCACGUUUUUCCUGUAUACCGGCAGCUAGCAUCCCAUCAGUAACCUACGGGCGAGAUUUCUUGAGGGGGGCUGGCCAUGGUUUUUUAACCCACCCUUUCAUUCACUUAAGACCCAAAGCAGAAAAGGUUUGCAAUCCAUAUACAGGAAUUUGGUUCCACCAAAGUACAAGGACUAAACUGGUCGACUCCACCGCAAGGUGCGAGAUGUUGAGCUUCCUCGACGCCUACUCUGGGUAUCAGCAAGUCUAUAUGGCUGAGGAAGACAAAGAAGAAACGAGUUUGAUCGCCCCUUCCUUCUGCUACAAGCGAAUGCCCUUCGAUUUGAUAAAUGUCGGCGCCACAUUUAAGCGCCUAAUGAGCCUCAUCCUCAGGUCUCAGUUGGGUCGUAAUACAGAAGUGUACGUUGACGACGCCGUCAUCAAAAGCCGCUUGGCAGGGACUCACCCCAAAAACACCUCUUUUUUUGCAUCUGCUGAGCAGAACCAAUUACCAGAUCCUACUUCUAAGCUCUAUGCUCUACUUCGGCCUUGCUCUCACUUAUGGGUAGGAAGGACAAUAAGCAGGAAUUCAUGUUGGCUAACUAUUCUAUCCAGGCGGAAGUUGUUUUCAUAGGAAAGAUGGAAGGUUUUGCGUGUUGGUUGUAUCGAAUUUCCCUUUCUAAUAGCAUAUACAAAUAGAUAAGAAAGUUACGACGAUGAUAAGGUAAAUGAAAACCUUUGAUUUACCUUACCAUCAGUUCUGUCUUAUCUCUGUGCCUCCUCUAGCCAUUCAUAAUUGGAUAUCGUCAUUCAAAUCUGUUAUGACAACUGUUUGGUAAGCAGGGAUUCGAAUCAAACAAUAAAUACCAACUCUAAGUGUGAUGGAUAGUACCUGGUGCCUAAUUUCAUGGUAUCUUUCUUGGCGCCUACCACAGGAAAACCCCUCCUUCUUUUGGGAGGAAAUCAAAUGAGUAAAGGUUUCUGCCGACUCCCCUCAAGGAAACACUCACUACUCAACUUGAAACCACGGACCUACCUCCUGCUUUUUACUUUCUUCUUUGUCCCAAUUCAUAUCGAGCAUGUCUUUCUCCAUCUAUAGAUAGAGAGAAUAUAGGAUAGGGGCACUCAAAGCAAAUAGGAUUCUGUAUCUAAUACUAAUAGGUACUAACCGCAUUCAAGAUUGACUUGACCUCUUAUUUUGGAUAGGCAGAAAUGCUUACGCCCUAGGGGUUUAAAGGGCCCACUCCCUUUGGUUGACUCAUCAGGCUCACCACCUUUUGGAGCUCAUCCAACAGUCAGUCUACUUAAUCAUAAUCAUAAUCAUAAUCAAUCUGUUGCUAUUGCUAUCUAUCGCCAUACCCACAAGAGGGUAAUUUAUCCAACUCCCCGUGCGAAAGCAAGUCCCGCAUCAGCAGUGAUUCGAGUUGUUCCUUGAGAGCAGGCUUAUGGCAUUCCAGGUAAACAUAACAAUAUGAGAGAGAACUCCGUUCGGCUUAUAAGUACUCGAUUGAACCAAUUGUUUUUUCAUUUCCCAGUAGGUCACCUUGGGCCAGCUGCUGACUUUCUAGAAAGAGACAAGGAAGUCGAUUCAACAUAAGGGAAGAAAGCAUAUUUUAGGUUUACUCCUUCCAUGUCUAGUAGGAGUGCGUGCUUCUUAUUGCCUUUUGAGCAGUAGUUGUAUACAUUCCUCACUCAGUCUAAUUAAUUAUCUUUCUCCCUACCCAAAUACCAAGGGAAGUUUAUGAGUCGUAUCCUCCUUACGAGAUAGCGGAAGUAGCAUUAGCGGGAAAAGUAAGUUCCUUUUCAAGCCUUCUCUUUCGUAACCUUUGAUUAGUUCCUUAGAUGCCCUUAGCAAGAAUGAUGCAGGAGCAAGAAAGUCUAUUUCCUCUACCUUUCCAGAAUCUAGCUAUUCAAAUAGCACAGUAUAAAAUGCAAUCCAUAAGUCAUGUUGGUCAAUCAAUGACAAUGAUAAGCUCUAUAAAAAAAAGAGUCUAUUGCUCUUCGACACAUUUUAUAUCUACUUCAGUCAUGCUUUAUUGGAGUUAUCUGACGCCAAGGAGGAAGGAAUAGAGAUUAGGAUCCUAGCCUUGUUCCGUUUGAAGUUCCUAAGAGAGGUUACAAAAGAAAGGGAUGCUCAAACCAAGGAUUCGGAGUCUUAUUAGUGCAUCAAUCUACAGAAAGGUAGGGGGCAUAACUGUGUGAAAAUGGAGUGUAAAGCAUAUUCUAGAUAUUUCACUUCGAAUUUCUUCCUCUUAAAAGAGUCAAGUCCGCAGGGUUCCCUAAAUUCCCCAGGAAUCAAGUGGGGCCAGGAGAUCAUUGUUCAUUCGGUGGUUGGCCCUCCCCCUAAUAAGUACCUACCAAGAAUUGGGCCAGUUAGUUCAAGCGGUACUGAAUCACAAAGAACAGUUGAGUUUUCUAAUUCAUCUAUUAUUCUAUUUUUUGCAUCUCUAGAAUAGCGUUGGAGCCGGGACACACAUUUCUGCCCGAGUUCCAACAGCAAACCAAAUACGUUAUCGUGGAAAACAAGUUUCGCCAACACAUAAGAGUUUGUGUGCUUUUUAUUUUCACAUGAGUUUCACAUAUGUGAUGGUUGGUUGGGAGGGUACGGCAAAUGACUCUAGAAUCUUUCUGGAUACAACCACUGAACUGGAUCGUCACCGAGAAAAUACUAUCUUGUGGACUCAGGCUCUACGUUUAAGCCUUAAGGUCUUUCUCCUUACCGUGGGGAGCGGUACCACUUGCGUGAUUCUAGAGAAGAAGGCGGUGUCCCGACCACAAGGCGGUUAAAUUCCACUGGUGCUUGCUAGCCAGUCAAGAACGACUCGAAGACCGAGGGAAGGUCUUCACGCUACGCCGAAGACGACGAUGGCUCCAUACCGGGUGGUAAUACACAGGUAUAGGAUUUCCUGUAAUGAUGUGAAACUGUAUAUUUUAGAGAAAUAGCUCAGUUCGAGAGGAAGGCGGAAACAGUUUCGGUUUUAUUAACCUGAUUCCUAUUCAUUUACCGAUAAAGGAAGGAAUUCUUAUCUAUUUCUCGAGGCAAUUAGACUCAUAUCGACAAUAUGAACUGCAUGAGAAUUAGCAUAUAGAAAGAAAGCUUUACUGAAUACAGGUCUAGUAGGUAUAGAGCCGUAAGCGUGGUGGGGGUGUCGGUGCUUAGGCAGAUGCCCCAUUGUUCAUGAUGUUGCAAUGAAUCCAGUGGAUCAUCCUCAUGGAGGAGGUGAGGGGCGCACGAAAGGAGGUAGACCUUCGGUGUCACCUUGGGGAAAGCUCACCAAAGCAGGAUUUCGGGCAGUAGUAGGGGUGGUGAAACUUUAGAUGUCAAAUGCCACCAAUUUUUCUGCUCAAGUUAGAACGUAGUUUUUCGAAGUGAAUUGGCCAGUUCCUUUUAAAAGGAGACUGGUUUCUUUUUACAAGCGAUUGGCUUCACUUUAGAUUUUUUAUCGUAAUUUCUCUUUGAUUUAUGGGUUGUUAUUUAUUAUUUCGAUUUUUGAUAAACGAAACGAAUCCAAGACCGACAAGUAGAAUUCCAUUCGGUACCUUUGGGGUUUUUCUUUUUCCUUCUGGAUGACGACGUCACCGCGUCUCCUUAUUGUUAUUGCGAUGGUGAUGAGGAACAAAGGGCCGGGGAGAUCAUCGAAAUUACCUCUAGCCCGGAGCCAGAGGGGGUCGUCGACACAACGCCAACCCUGGUGGUGGGGCACUUCGAAGGUCUGGAGACCCUCCUUGAGAUUCUUCCUUUACCGGAAACACCACCCGCAGGUCCUUCCUUAGCUCCAGGAGAAAGGGAGCAAGCCCCCUCUGUUGGCCUAAACCUUGAUCCAUCCCAGAGUAGCCGCCGGCUGGACGGCGGCAAAUGGGGGGCAAACUCCUCAAAACGAAGUUCUACUUUGUCUUUGGAAGAAUUGGAAGAAUAGGACUCUAAGUUUAAAGUAGGAGUAGAGUCUUUAGAGGCUCGCUUAGAAGGAAUAAAGAGAAAAAAGCAACUGCAAGCGUUCGGGGCUUCUCCUUUUGAGACCGCGAAAGCAGAGCUGGUUACGUCCAUUGGGGAAAAUUCCCAGUUUCGUGUGGGACUGCUUUUGUCUCUGGAUGUCAAAUGCCCCUUGACGGGCAAACGGGAGGCUCUCGAAAAGACGAUAGAGGCCAUCUUGAAAUGCCAAGGGAAGCCCACAGACUCCCUAGCAUCUCUACUCGACCUAAAAUGCGAUCUCGAGGACCCCGAAAAACUCGAGACCGCUCUCCGUCCAUAUUUAGGACGGUUAGGGCGAUUUUUUAAGAAAUAAAAACCUUCUGUCGAUUUAUCCACACUUCCAUGACUUCUAGAGGAAAGCUAACUGCUUGCUGGCUGGGAGCUGUAUGAGCGGUAACGUCCACGUACGGCUCCGUGAGAAGGUGGACGGAAAUGGCCUUGUUGUACCUCACUCCCGUCUUCAAUGGGGUCUGCUCUUUUUUUAGGAGAGUAUGCCAAUAUGAUCUUAAUGAGGUGCGGGGCUUUGCAUCUGACAUUCGUUGGGCUUUCCUCUGCGGGAGCCCGCGUCCCGGCCUUUUUGUGCAAUAAACCCCUCCGGCCGAAGACUAGUGAUAGGUGGUCCCGCGGAGCUUUCGGAGAAGGGUAGCCUAGUGUGUAAGCACAGCAAUGAACCACGGCAGACCCUCAGACGACCCUUCUAAGAUAAGGGGGGAGAUCCUCAGUAGUGGUGACCCUUUGACUCUUCCACUGACUUAUAUAUGUACCGAAUGCUCAUACGGGAAAGUGAACUCCUGGGUCUGAAACCUGGGGGGGUUGCUCCGAUAAAAAAUCCUUUCUUUCUCGUCCACUCUAGGGGGUGCGGACACACCUGCGUGGAUUACAGGUGACGGUUACAAGAAUGGCGGGGAAGUGAAGAGUAACCGACGACAUUCAAGGAUGAAUGUAGACCCAUCGGGCGGGGAUAAUCAUUCCGGUCCUAGGAGAGGUGGCGACACCAGUCUGAGCUCAGGGAAGCCAGCUAAUUGAGUCACUAAAAUGACCGCAGGAGGCGCACCCUAAGCCCAGCUUCUCAGAGCUGCUAUUGUGAAAUAUGGCUUCCUUAAUAUCCAAAUUUCAACAAGGGGCUGGGCUGCUCGCCUUCAUAGAAAGGCGACCGGGCCUAGAUUAGAUGUUCGCCUUUUUAUAGAAUAGAAAGAGAAGGUAAAGGGGGGGUUGGAGAUUCUUUCAAGAAUGCAUGGCUUCCUCCUAUUCCGCUUCAACAGAAGCCCUUAAAAUCCUACUGCUAUGGCAGCAAGGGUUAUCCAUUUCAUAGGCGAGGGUGGGGGAGAAGCAAGACGAACCUCUGAUCGACCCGGACACGUCAAAAAUUCUCGGCGCCGAGAGAAAGAUGAGAUUCAGUAAGUAAUUCAGUGAGUGCUUUCUUUUAUAAGAAGAGCGUCGGCUUGGAAAAAGAAAAUGAAAUACGAACAACCGCGCUGGUUGUAAUAGAUCGACUUGAAUGCGUCUUCUUGCUCCAGCAUUCAAGUUCCAUUUCAAGGGAGGACGACGUACCAUGAUACUUUCUGUUUUGUCGAGCCCUGCUUUGGUCUCUGGUUUGAUGGUUGUACGUGCUAAAAAUCCGGUACAUUCCGUUUUGUUUCCCAUCCUAGUCUUUUGCGACACUUCUGGUUUACUUAUUUUGUUAGGUCUCGACUUCUCCGCUAUGAUAUCCCCAGUAGUUCAUAUAGGAGCUAUUGCCGUUUCAUUCCUAUUCGUGGUUAUGAUGUUCAAUAUUCAAAUAGCGGAGAUUCACGAAGAAGUAUUGCGCUAUUUACUAGUGAGUGGUAUUAUUGGACUGAUCUUUUGGUGGGAAAUGUUCUUCAUUUUAGAUAAUGAAACCAUUCCAUUAUUACCAACCCACAGAAAUACGACCUCUCUGAGAUAUACGGUUUAUGCCGGAAAGGUACGAAGUUGGACUAAUUUGGAAACAUUGGGCAAUUUACUUUAUACCUACUAUUCCGUCUGGUUUUUGGUUUCUAGUCUGAUUUUAUUAGUUGCUAUGAUUGGGGCUAUAGUACUUACUAUGCAUAGGACUACAAAGGUGAAAAGACAGGAUGUAUUCCGACGAAAUGCCUUGGAUUCUAGGAGCCAUAUAAUGAACAGGACUAUUUCUCCUUUUGGCCAUAGCCAUAGAAGAAGCUUCUCCUCUGGAGCGGGGGGGCGCUUGACAAUUACAAAGAAACCUUUAAAAUGUGGAUUUAGUGCUCAGAAUAUAAGGAUUUCCCUGGCUUAAAAUGCAAGAUAGACAGACUUCUUGCAUUCCUUGAGCCUGGGGAGAUCCUAUUCAUGGUAAACACGUUCCCCCGGGACUUUCCUCUGCUCGAGAUCUUAGAACCCCAGGAUAUCCGAAAUAUAAUUGCUCACUCGCACAAGCAGUGGAAGCCACCCAAAAAGGGAGGCUAGUAAUUUUUUUGGUAGGUUUGUAUUGUUUCUCGAAUUGGUAGGUUUCUCGAAGUAGUUUUAGUAGGUUUCUCAGGAAAUAGAGAUGCCGAGGCCCCUACUUACCUUAUGGGUAGGUAGGGGGAAGGAAGAGUGGGUCAGAGGGCUUCCUUCACAGUGCAUACCUCUCUUUCUCUUUUGAGUUUUUCUGGUCGCGCAAGAUCUUUGGUCUUCCCCCGGAACCGAUGAAAAAGCGGGUCGCUUCUUAUGGACUCGCUCAGAAUGAUUCUUUUAUAUCUAAGGAAAGGGGAUGACAUUAUCGCCAUUGAUUGAAUUCGUACGUCUAUCGCUAUCCCGGGCCGAGGAGAGGGGGUUUCGGAAGGAGGAAGGCUCGUUUCAUUAUCGAAUAUCGUGUAGAACUCACUUGCCCUGCCUUUUGCUAGGAGACUGUAGUUCGAGCAUUCUAUUGUGUGCUCGAUCCGUGAUACGCAAAGCAAUCUCUUGUUUACUAUUGAUCUAAUGAUAGUUGAUUGAGACUUGCCAUUGUCGUCUUUCAAAAGUGAACUCUUAUCUGGUUGCACUCGGGUUCUCCUGUCGACUUGUUUUUCAAUAGUAAAUCACAGGCAGUAUGCCCUAUUUGAAAACAUGCAAUGAGGGUACGAGCAACACUCCCCAAACUUGGCAUGACUCAUCACCAUCUUGUAUUCAUGAUCUUACCUCUAUUGGUCACAAAUGCAUAGCAUAGGAUCGAGUGGAUCGGCACCCAAUAGGCCAGAUUUUCCUAUCUUUGAUGUUAGAAGUGAUUCCAAUAUAUUUUUCUAUAGUGAUAGUUCACACAUUAGCAAUUAGCACUGCCUCAAAGCAAACAUAGGAACUAGGGAGUUCAUCGAGAGAAAGUCCCUUUAGUUUCGUACUUCCCUGUUUCGGAUUUGCAUAUGUCUUUAAUCGCAAUAGUUGUAGAGAAAUCCCUCAAUCACGGGACAAUCCUCCAGGGCAAAGGUACUUCCAAAGCUCAGAAGGUUCAUCUGUGCAUGAAAGGAAUGAAACAAAUUCCAUAGAAAAAAUAGGAAAAUCCCCACCGAGAUCGGUACCUAUCUAGAUCCCCAGCUUCGACAACAAAACUCCUUCGCAUUUUGCGACCAUUCCCGCGAGGACUACGAUUCGGAUUAUCUAAUGUCAUCCCCAAACAGAAUUACACCUCUUAAGAGGAAGGGACGGCC
This 23515-nucleotide long non-coding RNA is filed under the name Triticum aestivum (bread wheat). RNAcentral's name for it is "long non-coding RNA (TAES_LNC003523)". The record is from RNAcentral. Lineage: Eukaryota; Viridiplantae; Streptophyta; Magnoliopsida; Poales; Poaceae.